This is a non-coding RNA of Gracilibacter sp. BRH_c7a, 66 nucleotides long. The record is from Rfam. Lineage: Bacteria; Bacillati; Bacillota; Clostridia; Eubacteriales; Gracilibacteraceae.
UAACCGUAUCCGAGAGGGUACGCUGAACCUGCAGAAGUCAGCAGAGGCCAUAGAAAUCGGAAGGGC